Molecule: ribosomal RNA, 478 nt
Filed under: uncultured bacterium
Lineage: Bacteria
Description: SSU rRNA
Rfam family: Bacterial small subunit ribosomal RNA
Source: RNAcentral
AGGACGAACGCUGGCGGCGUGCUUAACACAUGCAAGUCGAGCGGUAAGGCUCCUUCGGGAGUACACGAGCGGCGAACGGGUGAGUAACACGUGAGCAAUCUGCCCUUCACACUGGGAUAACCCCGGGAAACCGGGGCUAAUACCGGAUGCGACCACCGACGGCAUCGUCUGGUGGUGGAAAGUUCCGGCGGUGGGGGAUGAGCUCGCGGCCUAUCAGCUUGUUGGUGGGGUAAUGGCCUACCAAGGCUUCGACGGGUAGCCGGCCUGAGAGGGUGACCGGCCACACUGGGACUGAGACACGGCCCAGACUCCUACGGGAGGCAGCAGUGGGGAAUAUUGGACAAUGGGCGAAAGCCUGAUCCAGCAACGCCGCGUGAGGGAUGACGGCCUUCGGUUGUAAACCUCUUUCAGCAGGGACGAAGCGCAAGUGACGGUACCUGCAGAAGAAGCACCGGCCAACUACGUGGCCAGCAGCCGC